RNAcentral lists this ribosomal RNA (206 nucleotides) under uncultured bacterium. Its description in RNAcentral is "partial 16S ribosomal RNA". It matches the Rfam family "Bacterial small subunit ribosomal RNA", at positions 1295 to 1500 of the family's 1533-position model. The record is from RNAcentral.
GGAUUGUAGUCUGCAACCCGACUACAUGAAGCUGGAAUCGCUAGUAAUCGCGGAUCAGAAUGCCGCGGUGAAUACGUUCCCGGGUCUUGUACACACCGCCCGUCACACCAUGGGAGUCGGAAAUGCCCGAAGUCAGUGACCCAACCGUAAGGAGGGAGCUGCCGAAGGUGGAGCCGGUAACUGGGGUGAAGUCGUAACAAGGUAUC